Molecule: unclassified non-coding RNA, 935 nt
Filed under: Hevea brasiliensis (rubber tree)
Lineage: Eukaryota; Viridiplantae; Streptophyta; Magnoliopsida; Malpighiales; Euphorbiaceae
Source: RNAcentral
GCCAUCAGAUUUCUACUAGUGGUUCUGCUUCUUCAUCACUUCAAUAUACUACCUAAAAGACACCAACAUAGUUGGGCUACAAGCAAAUUUGUAAGAUAAUGGCUUGUGCUGCUUUAUCAGCAAACAGCUGCACCAUAGCUUCAUCGUCUACUGGACGAUUGAGCUUUUCCACAUACCAAAAGGACUCAAAAUUGAGGCAAAGACACAGUCUCGUCCGAUUCAGAGUUCGGGCUUCAACUGACGAUUCUGAUUGCAAUGCUGAAGAAUGUGCCCCAGACAAGGAGGUUGGGAAGGUGAGCAUGGAAUGGGUAGCCAUGGACAACACCAAAGUGGUUGGUACAUUUCCACCUCGUAAGCCGCGUGGCUGGACAGGGUAUGUUGAGAAGGAUACUGCUGGGCAGACAAAUAUAUACUCUGUUGAGCCUGCAGUUUAUGUAGCAGAAAGUGCUAUAAGCUCUGGUACUGCAGGCACCUCAUCUGAUGGAGCAGAGAACACCAAAGCUAUUUCAGCUGGGAUAGCCUUAAUCUCUGUUGCAGCUGCUUCAUCGAUUCUCCUUCAAGUUGGGAAGAACUCACCUCCUCCGAUACAAACAGUGGAGUACAGGGGACCAUCCCUUAGCUACUAUAUCAACAAGCUUAAGCCAGCGGAAAUAGUCCAAGCUUCAAUAACCGAAGCACCAACUGCACCAGAAACCGAAGAAGUAGCAAUUACACCAGAAGUUGAAAGCUCUGCUCCAGAAGCUCCUGCUCCACAAGUUGAAGUCCAAUCUGAAGCCCCUCAGGACACUUCAAGUUCAAGUUCUAACAUCUCUUAGGACAAAUCAUUUUGCUUGCUUGUAUAUUUUUAUUUGUAGAUGACCUAGUAUACAUAUUUCAGUAAGCUUUUGUAAUACUACUAUUCAAAGAGAACAAUUAUCUGUAUCGAAAAUCAAUUA